GUUUUGCCGGCGUCAUUGUCAGCUCCUCUUAAAUGCAUUAGCGGAACUUUAUUAAAGGACCAGCUUUGGUUUGAUAAUCCUAUCUAUGCCGUCGCUGUGGACUUACUUGUUCAGCUUCAAUGGUCUUCGGACUGUCUCUUUGUGAGGCAUACACUUUUAAGCUUGACCUCAAAUCAGGUAGGACUACCCGCUGAACUUAA
This 200-nucleotide unclassified non-coding RNA is filed under the name soil metagenome. Its description in RNAcentral is "partial contains internal transcribed spacer 2 and large subunit ribosomal RNA". The record is from RNAcentral.